UCCGAGUUGACCCCGGCAGUCUCCCAUGAGUCCCCACCAUAACGUGCUGGCAACAUGGAACGAGGGUUGCGCUCGUUGCGGGACUUAACCCAACAUCUCACGACACGAGCUGACGACAACCAUGCACCACCUGUGAGACGCCCUUGCGGACCCCGUAUCUCUACGAGUUUUCAUCCCAUGUCAAGCCUUGGUAAGGUUCUUCGCGUUGCAUCGAAUUAAUCCGCAUGCUCCGCCGCUUGUGCGGGCCCCCGUCAAUUCCUUUGAGUUUUAGCCUUGCGGCCGUACUCCCCAGGCGGGGCACUUAAUGCGUUAGCUACGGCGCGGAAAACGUGGAAUGUCCCCCACACCUAGUGCCCAACGUUUACGGCAUGGACUAC
This 377-nucleotide unclassified non-coding RNA is filed under the name uncultured Actinomycetes bacterium. RNAcentral describes it as "uncultured actinobacterium contains 16S-23S intergenic spacer region". Lineage: Bacteria; Bacillati; Actinomycetota; Actinomycetes. The record is from RNAcentral.